GAUGAACGCUAGCGAUAGGCUUAACACAUGCAAGUCGAGGGGCAGCACAAGGUAGCUUGCUAUCUGGGUGGCGACCGGCGCACGGGUGCGUAACGCGUAUGCAACUUGCCCUAUACAGGAGGAUAACCCGUCGAAAGACGGACUAAUACUGCGUAUGCUCACAACUUGGCAUCAAGUAGUGAGGAAAGAAAUUCGGUAUAGGAUAGGCAUGCGUCCCAUCAGCUUGUUGGUGAGGUAACGGCUCACCAAGGCAACGAUGGGUAGGGAAACUGAGAGGUUUAUCCCCCACACUGGUACUGAGACACGGACCAGACUCCUACGGGAGGCAGCAGUGAGGAAUAUUGGUCAAUGGGCGAGAGCCUGAACCAGCCAAGUCGCGUGAAGGAUGACUGUCUUAUGGAUUGUAAACUUCUUUUAUACGGGAAUAACAAGAGUCACGUGUGACUCCCUGCAUGUACCGUAUGAAUAAGC
Molecule: ribosomal RNA, 471 nt
Filed under: Porphyromonas sp. oral taxon C34
Lineage: Bacteria; Pseudomonadati; Bacteroidota; Bacteroidia; Bacteroidales; Porphyromonadaceae
Description: bacterial SSU rRNA
Rfam family: Bacterial small subunit ribosomal RNA
Source: RNAcentral